RNAcentral lists this long non-coding RNA (2943 nucleotides) under Apis dorsata (giant honeybee). Its description in RNAcentral is "uncharacterized LOC102672063". Lineage: Eukaryota; Metazoa; Arthropoda; Insecta; Hymenoptera; Apidae. The record is from RNAcentral.
AUAUAUAGUAGCAUACUUCGUCAAUGAGAGUUUGACCGACAUAACACAUUAUGAAUGUGCAACUGACAGUAGAUGCUUGCAUCAUAAGAUGAAUUAUCAUAGCUGCAGCGUUACUGUCUUCCCAUUCCUAAAAUUACAAGUAUUAUCAUUACAAGUUCAUAGUAUAAACAUAUGAUCAUUCUAUACCGUGACAACGUUAUAUCCAAUCACGCAUCCUAUACUCGUUUCGACCAUGAUCUCGAGAAGAAAAAGGUAACCGUUCACCUGUGGUAUCAUCAUUUUCAUCUUCUUUCUCCCGUUCUUCUCUUUCAAAAAUACGUGCAAAAAUCCUGGAACCAAUACUAUUAAUUGCAACGUGUAACAGGUAAAUAUCAAGUACCAAUUCAAAAUCUUUGAAAGUGUGGAAGAUGAGACGCGGUUUGGCCAUGCGCCCAAUAUUCUCAGAAGCGGAUACGCGAACCAUACGGUAUGCCUCAUCCCGUUUUCCGCUUUCCCUACUCGAGACAUUUUAAUGAUCGAUAGAAUGGAACUGUCUAUGUUGUGACAGAAGACAUCAAUGAUUUCAGGAGACUUUUUUGCGCUUGCGUGUUAUAAAGAUUUAAAUAUCCGCAAAUAUGAAACGAUUUUAAUGCAUGUGGGGAAUAAUGUUUUGAAUUUUUACAAAAGGAUAAGAAAAUUGGAUGAAAUUACCGCUGCUCGCGAUGCAUGCCCCCUAUGAGAAGUUUUAUAGUAUCUGCUAUCUCUUUUUCUAAAAACGGUUUUAGAAAUGUUCACCAACAAUAAGCAUAUCUAUAUAUAUAUGAAAUGAAUAUAUAUAGAUAUGAAUAUAUAUGAAAAUUUUAUGAAAAUUAAUAAUCAAUAUUUGUCGUAAAAAAUAUCUCAUAUAUACAUACGUGAUAAAAAACAUAUUAAAGUAUUGUGAACGUGUACUUGUAAUGAAAUUAAACAUGUAAACUUUCACGGAGUUACGAUUUUCCAGAAAAAUGUUUUUAUUGGUUGCAAAGUUUACACGGGAACCAUAAUUACCGGAAUGAUAAGUAAAUGUGAAAGGGUUCUAUACGAGGGGAACAAGUUACACAUAAAGUUCUGUAAAAAAAAUAGAAGAAAAUAAAAAUGACAAUAAUAUGAAAAUUAUCUUUUAAUCUCAGUCGACUGCUUUCUGUUGUAUCGCACGUAUUUGUUUAAAAAAAUGAGCUUAAGCAACUGUUCGUAAUAUGUUCAAAUAUCCUACAGAUGUCUUUACGAUCUGAAAAAUAUAAUUAGAAUAAUGUAUGAAAAGAAUAAAGGAAAUUUAAUUUUUUCUUAUAAAUACAUACAUCGGUAAAAGUGAUCAACGAUAUGUCUACAAUUUUACCAGCUGUGACUUUUAUUGGAUAAUUCGACAUAAUAAUAACCAGUAUCAAGCCACGCGCUUCAUUCACAGAAUCAUGUACCGUGAUAAGGCAGUAUCCGAUCACGCAAGCUCCACACACGUAUUCGAGAAUUUCGCAAAAAUAAAGAUAAGACGUGAGUUGUUCGACGUGAUUUAAAAAGCUGAAAUGAGAUUUCGUGCACUCCAUAAAUAUGAAUAUAAUCUCUUCUCGUAUAAAAUAUAUAUCCAUAUAUCAAAUUUUUAAAGAAUCAUUUCUAUACUCACUCUAUAAUCUUCAUCUGAUACUCAACAAUAUCCGCGAGCUUCUUACGCACAACCCUUUCGCAUUCAUCUGACUGACAGAAAUAUGUACAGAAGGCCUGGGACCAUGAAUAUCAAUGUGAGCAAAUACGAGAGAAAAAUUAUAACGUAAUUUGAUAUUUUGGCGAACGCGGAUGAUGAGACGCUCAAUGGCCAGUAGCCGAGCAUUCUCGAGAACGGAUAUGCAAACCAGAAGAAUCAUUCAACCAUACCAUGAUAAGGCAAUAUUUACGAUCACAAGGUUAUACACACAUAUUCAAGAAUUUCGCAAAAAUAAAACGUAAAAUAAAAAAUUGAAAUCAAAUUUCAAUCGUUGUGCACUCCAUUAAUAUAAAUAUAAUCAUUUUCUAUAUAAAAUAUUCAUAUAUAAUAUAUUAAAUUUUUAAUCAAUUAUUUAUACUCACUCUAUACGAUUUUCAUUUGAUAUUCAACAAUAUCUGCGAACUUCUUACAUAUAUCUCACUUCAAAUGGACUGUUACUUUUAUUGGAUAAUGUGACAUAAGGAUCAGUAAUAUCAAGCUGCGCGCCUUUUUCACAGGUAAAAUUUCUAUUAAAUAUCUGAACUAAUACUUAAUACAUUUUAUCUAUAAAUAAUAAUAAACGAUUUACUUCAUCAAGUAGAAGUUGACCGACGUAGCAUACUGAGAACGUGCCAAUGACGCAAGUUACUUGGAAGACAACAUAAAUCACCAUAGCCAUAGCAUUGCUGUCUUCCCAUUCCUAAAAUGCAAUUAAUAUAUCACUAAAAUCAUCAUUAUUCUCAAUAUAACGCAUCAAAUCAUUCGUACCAUGAUUAUGCAAUAACCAAUUAUACAUAUAAUCAAUACUUGGAUAACAACUUCGAUAAGAUAAAUAGCGGGUACGAAUUGAUCAAGUUGAUUCAAAAAACUGAAAUAAAGAUUUUCGUAGAUUAAAUUACACUUUCUAAUAAUUUGUAUAAUUAACUAUCUUUGUAUUCUUUUUCGAUACUCGCUCUUUGAUCCUCGUUUGAUACUCAACGAUGUGCACGAUCUUCUCCUGCACAACUUGUUCAUCACUGUCAUUCGUAAGAUCCAUCACCUUGUUCGUCAAGAUCUUCAGCAAACCGCACAUAUGCAAACACAGCAUCAAACAAGCGCUCUUCGUGCCGCAUAAAACUGUGUAAAUGAUAAAUCCGCCGAGAACUUGUAGCGUGAAAAUUAUCUCGUAGUUCGGCGUAGCUUGCUCGUUCAAGGAACCAAAGUAACUCGGACAAGAACGUACAGAAGGCCUGGGAUCAAGACUAUCAAUU